GCCGUGGUGGUGAAAUUGGUAGACACGCUAUCUUGAGGGGGUAGUGCCCUAGGGUGUGCGGGUUCGAGUCCCGCCCACGGCA
This is a non-coding RNA of Aeromonas schubertii, 82 nucleotides long. NCBI's taxonomy places the organism in Bacteria, Pseudomonadati, Pseudomonadota, Gammaproteobacteria, Aeromonadales, Aeromonadaceae. The record is from Rfam.